CCUCCUUAUACGAUUUAGAACUUAUUUGUUCGUAGUGUCCACACAGAUGAUUGUUAGUUAGUUUCAUCUUUGGGUUUAACUGAUUAAUAUGCUCUUUAAAAAUUUGGAGAAGCUGAUAAUAAAAUUCGUAUGAAUACAGUGUAUUUGUACAGAGUUUUCAAAAGUAAAAAAGAAUGAUAGCAGUAUCAUUCAGUGCCAUUUAAUAAACGUUUCGUUUGUUGAUUGGUAUCUACUUUAGUAUUCAAUAUUAACUUCUGGCGAAGUUAAACUGUCACAAAACAAAGACCCGUUUGGGUUGUAUGGUUAAGUGACUAAGCGUACACGGUGGAUGC
Molecule: unclassified non-coding RNA, 332 nt
Filed under: uncultured Pseudoalteromonas sp.
Lineage: Bacteria; Pseudomonadati; Pseudomonadota; Gammaproteobacteria; Alteromonadales; Pseudoalteromonadaceae
Description: partial 16S-23S ribosomal RNA intergenic spacer
Source: RNAcentral